GACGAACGCUGGCGGCGUGCUUAACACAUGCGAGUCGAACGGAAGGGCCCUGCUUGCAGGGUACUCGAGUGGCGAACGGGUGAGUAACACGUGGGUGAUCUGCCCUGCACUUCGGGAUAAGCCUGGGAAACUGGGUCUAAUACCGGAUAGGAGCCAUUUUUAGUGUGAUGGUUGGAAAGUUUUUUCGGUGUAGGAUGAGCUCGCGGCCUAUCAGCUUGUUGGUGGGGUAAUGGCCUACCAAGGCGGCGACGGGUAGCCGGCCUGAGAGGGUGGACGGCCACAUUGGGACUGAGAUACGGCCCAGACUCCUACGGGAGGCAGCAGUGGGGAAUAUUGCACAAUGGGCGCAAGCCUGAUGCAGCGACGCCGCGUGGGGGAUGACGGCCUUCGGGUUGUAAACUCCUUUCGCUAGGGACGAAGCUUUUUGUGACGGUACCUAGAUAAGAAGCACCGGCUAACUACGUG
This 465-nucleotide ribosomal RNA is filed under the name uncultured bacterium. RNAcentral describes it as "partial 16S ribosomal RNA". It matches the Rfam family "Bacterial small subunit ribosomal RNA", at positions 28 to 507 of the family's 1533-position model. The record is from RNAcentral.